CCCACGACUCCGCGUGUGUGAAGAAGGCCUUCGGGUUGUAAAGCACUUUCAGUAGGGAGGAAGGUAGUGUAGUUAACACCUGCAUUAUUUGACGUUACCUACAGAAGAAGCACCGGCUAACUCCGUGCCAGCAGCCGCGGUAAUACGGAGGGGUGCGAGCGUUAAUCGGAAUUACUGGGCGUAAAGCGCAUGCAGGCGGCCUGUUAAGUCAGAUGUGAAAGCCCGGGGCUUAACCUCGGAAUUGCAUUUGAAACUGGCAGGCUAGAGUCUUGUAGAGGGGGGUAGGAAUUUCAGGUGUAGCGGUGAAAUGCGUAGAGAUCUGAAGGAAUACCAGUGGCGAAGGCGGCCCCCUGGACAAAGACUGACGCUCAGAUGCGAAAGCGUGGGGAGCAAACAGGAUUAGAUACCCUGGUAG
Molecule: ribosomal RNA, 415 nt
Filed under: uncultured bacterium
Lineage: Bacteria
Description: bacterial SSU rRNA
Rfam family: Bacterial small subunit ribosomal RNA
Source: RNAcentral